Molecule: ribosomal RNA, 433 nt
Filed under: uncultured bacterium
Lineage: Bacteria
Description: partial 16S ribosomal RNA
Rfam family: Bacterial small subunit ribosomal RNA
Source: RNAcentral
AACGAACGCUGGCGGCAUGCCUAACACAUGCAAGUCGAACGAGACCUUCGGGUCUAGUGGCGCACGGGUGCGUAACGCGUGGGAACCUGCCCUUAGGUUCGGAAUAACUCCCCGAAAGGGGUGCUAAUACCGGAUAAUGUCUUCGGACCAAAGAUUUAUCGCCUUUGGAUGGGCCCGCGUUGGCUUAGCUAGUUGGUAGGGUAAAAGCCUACCAAGGCGACGAUCCAUAGCUGGUCUGAGAGGAUGAUCAGCCACACUGGGACUGAGACACGGCCCAGACUCCUACGGGAUGCAGCAGUGGGGAAUAUUGGACAAUGGGCGAAAGCCUGAUCCAGCAAUGCCGCGUGAGUGAUGAAGGCCUUAGGGUUGUAAAGCUCUUUUACCCGGGAUGAUAAUGACAGUACCGGGAGAAUAAGCUCCGGCUAACUCCGUG